This is a long non-coding RNA of Serinus canaria (Common canary), 1974 nucleotides long. RefSeq lists it as uncharacterized. NCBI's taxonomy places the organism in Eukaryota, Metazoa, Chordata, Aves, Passeriformes, Fringillidae. The record is from RefSeq and is a predicted model, not a curated record. The transcript is spliced from 2 exons.
AAUAGUCCUGAUUGCUUUGGGGUACCACCAACAUCAUCCACAAGGCCUUUGGUUUUCUGGAAACAAAGCUUUUCCUUUAAGCAAGUUACUCCUUUGCUUCCGGAUGACCAGAUUUCACACCCACCUCUGUUCUUUGAAAAAUAAGUUCAUUAAAAAGUUGUGAUCACACCACACCCAUCUCUUCUCUAAUGUGAGCAAUUCUGGCUUUGCAGGCUUUCCUAUUGAGGCAGCUGAUCCCUUUGUCCUUUUUGGUUGCCUUUCUCUAACCACUCUAUUAGAAGCACACACACUGCCCCACCUGUGGGUGCCCUAAGCUGGAAGAGCCUCCCUGAGGAUACUCACCAUUUUCCUGGCUUUCUGGCUGCCAUGGCACACUGAGCUGAGGUUUUAAGAGAAUAGUCCAUGGUGACUCCAGCAGCAUUUCCUUGAGUGGUGGCUGCCAGUUGUGAGCUCAUAAGCAUGCAAAUGUGAUUCAGAUUAUUCUACAGAUUAUUCUACCCAAGACAUUAUCUUGGUGAACACUGAAGCUCAUGUGUCACCCUUCUGUCCCCUCCCUUGUCUUUGUUAAGUACUUCUGGAGUUCUUCACCUACAAGCUCAGCACUUCACCAGACAAAUGAGCUUGCCAUUCACUGCAAACCUGGGCAUGCCAGACACACACUGUUGCUCCAGGCUGCUGCUGAGGGUGUUAAGUAACACCAGAGUGACUUCCAGGGGGUUCUCUUGCUGCUGUUUUUCCAUCCUAAAAAAAGUCACAGUUGAGCCCUGAACUUUCCUUUCCCCUUUCAAAUCACAGAAUGACUUUUCAUUCAGUCCAUGAUGUCUUAGUAUCUUCAUUGCCUUUGCUGAGAAAUUGUCAAGAGCUCCCUGAAAAUCUAAACACAAUAUGAAGAGUAUCUCUGCAUUCUUGUUACCACCCCUAUGGAUUCCAGACUGGUUGCAAGGCUGUCCCUUACAGAAAUCAUAUGGACUGCUUCCCUUGACAUCACACUUCCCUGUGUGUAUGUGGUUUUUUGGCUCUGCUGUUGUAGGAGGGAUGGAGGUCAAACUCCCUGGACUGUUGCUUCCCGAGACCCCUCUAGCUGAGGGGCUGCAGUGGCAAUUCUGAGCUCCUCCUUCUCCAGCACAGAGGCCACUUUUAAUGGCAGUUUACACACCUUGGGUCACCAGUUCUGCAGCUUCAUAUGAGAAAUAUUCUGUGAGUGGUGCCUGGUCCUACUGGUUUACUGACCUCCAGCUUAUCUGUUUGGUCUAUUAUUUCCUGUGAGUUCAGUUCAGGGUGCACUACCUCCUCUGAAGAGCUGCUAUCAAGAAUAUGCUGGGUUUGGGACUCUCUCUCAUGCUUCAGCAGGAAAGACUGGAACAUUAAACCCAAAAGUGCCUGUGGGGUCCCUCCUUUCAAUCAAGAGCUAGUCAGAAAGCAUCAACAGUAACACUGAAGGAGUUUGAUGUGUUACUUUCAUCUCUAUUAGCAUUAUUGAUCCAGGGGAAGGAGAAGCAAACUGCAUGGGAUGGAUGCUGCAGUCACUGAGCACAGACUGUCUCUACUGGAACUGAUCAGAUAUCUGAACUUUGCUAACUUUGUGCAUAAAUGCUCCAACACACUGUUAAAGAGAGGAUACAGCCUGUGGCUGAGAGUUCCUCUUGAAAAGAUUAAAUCUCUUCUAGAACCAUUUGAACAGUGAGGAAAAUUACAAACUUAAAAGCAUUCCAACUCAACUUCUGAAAAUAAGACCACAUACCAAAAUGUUAUAAUCUACUCUUUGUUAUAUUUAAAAGUGCAAGUAUUUUUUAGAAGCUCAAGAUUAUUUCCAUCCAAAAGCUUGAGAAGAAUAAACCAUCCAUCUGUGUCUUGAAUUAUUAUAUAGGUAUAUCUGCUUACAGGUACAAAAUUUAUAAGAAUAUAAUAUGGUGUUUUGCAAAUCUGAAACUUCCAAAGUUAAACACCUUUAAUAAAUCAUCUUCUCCAAUGCGA